Molecule: ribosomal RNA, 478 nt
Filed under: uncultured bacterium
Lineage: Bacteria
Description: partial 16S ribosomal RNA
Rfam family: Bacterial small subunit ribosomal RNA
Source: RNAcentral
GACGAACGCUGGCGGCGUGCUUAACACAUGCAAGUCGAACGGAAAGGCCCUUCGGGGUACUCGAGUGGCGAACGGGUGAGUAACACGUGGGUGAUCUGCCCUGCACUUUGGGAUAAGCCUGGGAAACUGGGUCUAAUACCGGAUAGGACCACGCGCUUCAUGGUGUGUGGUGGAAAGCUUUUGCGGUGUGGGAUGGGCCCGCGGCCUAUCAGCUUGUUGGUGGGGUAAUGGCCUACCAAGGCGACGACGGGUAGCCGGCCUGGGAGGGUGACCGGCCAGACGGGGACGGAGAUACGGGCCAGACUCCUACGGGGGGCAGCAGUGGGGAAUAUUUCACGAUGGGCGCAAGCCUGAUGCAGCGGCGCCGCGUGAGGGAUGACGGCCUUCGGGUUGUAAACCUCUUUCGCCAGGGACGAAGCGCAAGUGACGGUACCUGGAGAAGAAGGACCGGCCAAUUACGUGCCAGCCGCCGCAGUAA